This 1000-nucleotide ribosomal RNA is filed under the name Pediococcus pentosaceus. Its description in RNAcentral is "bacterial SSU rRNA". It matches the Rfam family "Bacterial small subunit ribosomal RNA", at positions 502 to 1533 of the family's 1533-position model. The record is from RNAcentral. Lineage: Bacteria; Bacillati; Bacillota; Bacilli; Lactobacillales; Lactobacillaceae.
UACGUGCCAGCAGCGCGGUAAUACGUAGGUGGCCAGCGUUAUCCGGAUUUAUUGGGCGUAAAGCGAGCGCAGGCGGUCUUUUUAAGUCUAAUGUGAAAGCUUUCGGCUCAACCGAAGAAGUGCAUUGGAAACUGGGAGACUUGAGUGCAGAAGAGGACAGUGGAACUCCAUGUGUAGCGGUGAAAUGCGUAGAUAUAUGGAAGAACACCAGUGGCGAAGGCGGCUGUCUGGUCUGCAACUGACGCUGAGGCUCGAAAGCAUGGGUAGCGAACAGGAUUAGAUACCCUGGUAGUCCAUGCCGUAAACGAUGAUUACUAAGUGUUGGAGGGUUUCCGCCCUUCAGUGCUGCAGCUAACGCAUUAAGUAAUCCGCCUGGGGAGUACGACCGCAAGGUUGAAACUCAAAAGAAUUGACGGGGGCCCGCACAAGCGGUGGAGCAUGUGGUUUAAUUCGAAGCUACGCGAAGAACCUUACCAGGUCUUGACAUCUUCUGACAGUCUAAGAGAUUAGAGGUUCCCUUCGGGGACAGAAUGACAGGUGGUGCAUGGUUGUCGUCAGCUCGUGUCGUGAGAUGUUGGGUUAAGUCCCGCAACGAGCGCAACCCUUAUUACUAGUUGCCAGCAUUAAGUUGGGCACUCUAGUGAGACUGCCGGUGACAAACCGGAGGAAGGUGGGGACGACGUCAAAUCAUCAUGCCCCUUAUGACCUGGGCUACACACGUGCUACAAUGGAUGGUACAACGAGUCGCGAGACCGCGAGGUUAAGCUAAUCUCUUAAAACCAUUCUCAGUUCGGACUGUAGGCUGCAACUCGCCUACACGAAGUCGGAAUCGCUAGUAAUCGCGGAUCAGCAUGCCGCGGUGAAUACGUUCCCGGGCCUUGUACACACCGCCCGUCACACCAUGAGAGUUUGUAACACCCAAAGCCGGUGGGGUAACCUUUUAGGAGCUAGCCCGUCUAAUGUGAUCCAGUGUUAAACCACUACUCCUCCCUCAAUGGCC